Molecule: long non-coding RNA, 492 nt
Filed under: Mytilus galloprovincialis (Mediterranean mussel)
Lineage: Eukaryota; Metazoa; Mollusca; Bivalvia; Mytilida; Mytilidae
Source: RNAcentral
AAAAUUUAAACUGCAUUUUAGUCUAAAAUGACAAAAUCGUAAUAAUAAAUGCAUGCAAUAAUUUAUGUAUUGACAGUAGUUACAGUGAUUCUAAUUCAGUAAUAUUUCUAUUUCAAACAAAACAAGGACCAGAAUAGACUCAAAGAAUGUACCAAAAAGGAAAACAAUAAACACUUUACUUCAUACCAAUGUUCUUAGUGGAAAGUUACUAUUCAUGACUCCAUGUAUUGACAAAAGAUAAAACAAUAAACAAUACACUUUACUACAAUCUUCAUAAAUCAUCAGAUAGUAAGACUGAGAAUGGAAAUGGGGAAUGUGUGAAAGAGACAACAACCAACCAAAGAAAAGAAAACAGAUGAAGGCCACCAAUGGGUCUUCAACACAACGAUAAAAUCCAACAUCCAGCUGACCCCUAAACAAAUAUAUGUACUAGUUCAGUGAUAAUGGAUGUCAUACUAAACCCAGAAAUAUUUAAAAGAAAUAAAACCAGAC